CCUACGGGAGGCAGCAGUGGGGAAUAUUGCACAAUGGGGGGAACCCUGAUGCAGCGACGCCGCGUGAGUGAAGACGUAUUUAGGUAUGUAAAGCUCUAUCAGGCGGGGAGAAAAUGCCGGUACCUGAUUCAGAAGCCCCGGCUACCUACGUGGCAGCAUCCGCGGUCAUACGUCGGGGGGCAGCGGUAUCCGGAUUUACUGGGUGUUAAGGGAGAGUAGACGGCAGCACAAGGCUGGAGUGAAAUGCCGGGGCUUAAACCCGGAACUGCUUUGGAAACUGUGCAGCUAGAGUGCAUGAGAGGUAAGUGGAAUGCCUAGUGUAGCGGUGAAAUGCGUAGAUAUUAGGAGGAACACCAGUGGCGAAGGCGGCUUACUGGACUGUAACUGACGUUGAGGCUCGAAAGCGUGGGGAGCAAACAGGAUUAGAUACCCGUGUAGUC
RNAcentral lists this ribosomal RNA (440 nucleotides) under uncultured bacterium. Its description in RNAcentral is "partial 16S ribosomal RNA". It matches the Rfam family "Bacterial small subunit ribosomal RNA", at positions 338 to 795 of the family's 1533-position model. The record is from RNAcentral.